AGAGUUUGAUCAUGGCUCAGGAUGAACGCUGGCGGUAUGCCUUACACAUGCAAGUCGUACGAGAGUUUUUAACUCAAGUGGCGGACGGGUGAGUAACACGUAAGAAUUUGCCUCUAGGAGGGGGAUAACAACUGGAAACGGUUGCUAAUACCCCAUAUGCUUUCGAGUGAAAUGGAUUUCCGCCUAGAGAGAAGCUUGCGGCUGAUUAGCUUGUUGGUGAGGUAAUGGCUCACCAAGGCGACGAUCAGUAUCUGGUUUGAGAGGACGAUCAGACACACUGGAACUGAGACACGGUCCAGACUCCUACGGGAGGCAGCAGUGGGGAAUUUUCCGCAAUGGGCGAAAGCCUGACGGAGCAAUACCGCGUGAGGGAUGACGGCCUAUGGGUUGUAAACCUCUUUUCUCAGGGAGGAAUCAAUGACGUGUACCUGAGGAAUAAGCAUCGGCUAACUCCGUGCCAGCAGCCGCGGUAAGACGGAGGAUGCAAGUGUUAUCCGGAAUCACUGGGCGUAAAGCGUCUGUAGGUGGUCAAAUAAGUCAACUGUUAAAUCUUGAGGCUCAACCUCAAAAUCGCAGUCGAAACUAUUAGACUAGAGUAUAGUAGGGGUAAAGGGAAUUUCCAGUGGAGCGGUGAAAUGCGUAGAGAUUGGAAAGAACACCGAUGGCGAAGGC
RNAcentral lists this ribosomal RNA (672 nucleotides) under uncultured bacterium. RNAcentral describes it as "bacterial SSU rRNA". It matches the Rfam family "Bacterial small subunit ribosomal RNA", at positions 8 to 722 of the family's 1533-position model. The record is from RNAcentral.